GUAGGGAAUAUUGGACAAUGGGGGCAACCCUGAUCCAGCGACGCCGCGUGAGUGACGAAGGCCUUCGGGUCGUAAAGCUCUGUUGCAAGGGAAAAACAAAAUGAUGGUACCUUGCUAGAAAGGAUCGGCUAACUUCGUGCCAGCAGCCGCGGUAAGACGAGGGAUCUUAGCGUUGUGCGCAGUUAUUGGGCGUAAAGCGGGUGUAGGUGGCUUUGUAAGUCAGGUGUGAAAGACUGGGGCUUAACCCCAGAGGUGCAUGUGAUACUGCGAAGCUUGAGUGCUGGAGAGGCUACUAGAAUUCUUGGUGUAGUGGUGAAAUACGUAGAUAUCAAGAGGAAUACCGGAGGCGAAGGCGGGUAGCUGGCCAGACACUGACACUCAGACCCGAAAGCGUGGGGAUCAAACAGGAUUAGAAACCCCUGUAGUCC
RNAcentral lists this ribosomal RNA (428 nucleotides) under uncultured bacterium. Its description in RNAcentral is "partial 16S ribosomal RNA". It matches the Rfam family "Bacterial small subunit ribosomal RNA", at positions 354 to 796 of the family's 1533-position model. The record is from RNAcentral.